Molecule: ribosomal RNA, 399 nt
Filed under: uncultured bacterium
Lineage: Bacteria
Description: bacterial SSU rRNA
Rfam family: Bacterial small subunit ribosomal RNA
Source: RNAcentral
GAAUAUUGGACAAUGGGCGAAAGCCUGAUCCAGCCAUGCCGCGUGAGUGAAGAGGGCCUUAGGGUUGUAAAGCUCUUUCAGCGGGGAAGAUAAUGACGGUACCCGCAGACGAAGCCCCGGCUAACUUCGUGCCAGCAGCCGCGGUAAUACGAAGGGGGCUAGCGUUGUUCGGAAUUACUGGGCGUAAAGCGCGCGUAGGCGGAUCGCUAAGUCAGGGGUGAAAUCCCAGGGCUCAACCCUGGAACUGCCUUUGAUACUGGCGAUCUGGAGAUCGGGAGAGGUAGGUGGAAUUCCGAGUGUAGAGGUGAAAUUCGUAGAUAUUCGGAGGAACACCAGAAGCGAAGGCGGCCAACUGGCCCGAUACUGACGCUGAGGCGCGAAAGCGUGGGGAGCAAACAG